GGAGUUUGGGCCGUGUCUCAGUCCCAAUGUGGCCGGUCAUCCUCUCAGAUCGGCUACUGAUCGUCGCUUUGGUAGGCCGUUACCCUGCCAACUGGCUAAUCAGACGCGGGCCCAUCCUGUACUGAUAAAUCUUUUCACACAAAACCACGCGGUUUCGUGCGCUUAUGCGGUAUUAGCAGCCGUUUCCAGCUGUUGUCCCCCGGUACAGGGCAGGUUGCCCACGCGUUACUCACCCGUCCGCCACUAAGUAUGAAACCGAAGUCUCAUACCCCGUUCGACUUGCAUGUGUUAAGCACGCCGCCAGCGUUAAUC
RNAcentral lists this ribosomal RNA (312 nucleotides) under uncultured Lachnospiraceae bacterium. Its description in RNAcentral is "partial 16S ribosomal RNA". The record is from RNAcentral. Lineage: Bacteria; Bacillati; Bacillota; Clostridia; Lachnospirales; Lachnospiraceae.